Molecule: ribosomal RNA, 890 nt
Filed under: Ganoderma sp.
Lineage: Eukaryota; Fungi; Basidiomycota; Agaricomycetes; Polyporales; Polyporaceae
Description: partial large subunit ribosomal RNA
Source: RNAcentral
GUAACUGCGAGUGAAGCGGGAAAAGCUCAAAUUUAAAAUCUGGCGGUCUUUGGCYGUCCGAGUUGUAGUCUGGAGAAGUGCUUUCCGCGCUGGACCGUGUAUAAGUCUCUUGGAACAGAGCGUCAUAGAGGGUGAGAAUCCCGUCUUUGACACGGACUACCAGUGCUUUGUGAUGCGCUCUCAAAGAGUCGAGUUGUUUGGGAAUGCAGCUCAAAAUGGGUGGUGAAUUCCAUCUAAAGCUAAAUAUUGGCGAGAGACCGAUAGCGAACAAGUACCGUGAGGGAAAGAUGAAAAGCACUUUGGAAAGAGAGUUAAACAGUACGUGAAAUUGCUGAAAGGGAAACGCUUGAAGUCAGUCGCGUUGUCCGGAACUCAGCCUUGCUUUUGCUUGGUGCACUUUCCGGAUGACGGGUCAGCAUCGAUUUUGACCGUCGGAAAAGGGCUGGAGUAAUGUGGCACCUCCGGGUGUGUUAUAGACUCUGGUCGCAUACGGCGGUUGGGAUCGAGGAACGCAGCGCGCCGCAAGGCAGGGGUUCGCCCACUUUCGCGCUUAGGAUGCUGGCAUAAUGGCUUUAAACGACCCGUCUUGAAACACGGACCAAGGAGUCUAACAUACCUGCGAGUGUUUGGGUGGAAAACCCGAGCGCGUAAUGAAAGUGAAAGUUGAGACUCCUGUCGUGGGAGGCAUCGACGCCCGGACCUGACGUUCUCUGACGGAUCCGCGGUAGAGCAUGUAUGUUGGGACCCGAAAGAUGGUGAACUAUGCCUGAAUAGGGUGAAGCCAGAGGAAACUCUGGUGAGGCUCGUAGCGAUUCUGACGUGCAAAUCGAUCGUCAAAUUUGGGGAUAGGGGCGAAAGACUAAUCGAACCAUCUAGUAGCUGGUUCCUGC